UCAUUUGGAAUUGUAAUGGUGAAUGUU
Molecule: non-coding RNA, 27 nt
Filed under: Homo sapiens (human)
Lineage: Eukaryota; Metazoa; Chordata; Mammalia; Primates; Hominidae
Source: RNAcentral